GCCGAGGAUGGUGGCACAUGCCUGUAAUCCCAGCAGCUUGGAGGCUGAGGCAGGAGGAUCGCAGGUUCAAAGCCAGCCUCAGCAACAACAAUGAGAUGCUAAGCAACUCAGUGAGAACCCUGUCUCUA
Molecule: small RNA, 128 nt
Filed under: Marmota monax (woodchuck)
Lineage: Eukaryota; Metazoa; Chordata; Mammalia; Rodentia; Sciuridae
Source: RNAcentral